AACGAACGCUGGCGGCAUGCCUAACACAUGCAAGUCGAACGAGACCUUCGGGUCUAGUGGCGCACGGGUGCGUAACGCGUGGGAACCUGCCCUUAGGUUCGGAAUAACUCCCCGAAAGGGGUGCUAAUACCGGAUAAUGUCUUCGGACCAAAGAUUUAUCGCCUUUGGAUGGGCCCGCGUUGGAUUAGCUAGUUGGUAGGGUAAAAGCCUACCAAGGCGACGAUCCAUAGCUGGUCUGAGAGGAUGAUCAGCCACACUGGGACUGAGACACGGCCCAGACUCCUACGGGAGGCAGGAAUGGGGAAUAUUGGACAAUGGGCGAAAGCCUGAUCCAGCAAUGCCGCGUGAGUGAUGAAGGCCUUAGGGUUGUAAAGCUCUUUUACCCGGGAUGAUAAUGACAGUACCGGGAGAAUAAGCUCCGGCUAACUCCGUG
RNAcentral lists this ribosomal RNA (433 nucleotides) under uncultured bacterium. Its description in RNAcentral is "partial 16S ribosomal RNA". It matches the Rfam family "Bacterial small subunit ribosomal RNA", at positions 29 to 507 of the family's 1533-position model. The record is from RNAcentral.